Molecule: ribosomal RNA, 484 nt
Filed under: uncultured bacterium
Lineage: Bacteria
Description: partial 16S ribosomal RNA
Rfam family: Bacterial small subunit ribosomal RNA
Source: RNAcentral
AUUGAACGCUGGCGGCAUGCUUUACACAUGCAAGUCGAACGGCAGCGCGGGCUUCGGCCUGGCUGCGAGUGGCGCACGGGUGAGUAUUGCAUCGGAACGUCCCCAGUUGUGGGGGAUAACCCGUCCAAGGCCGGAUUAAUACCGCAUACUACCUGCGCCUGCAACCGGGGGGGCGAAAGGCCUCUCGCUCUUGUGGCGACCGAUGCCGGAUUAGUUAGCUGGUGGGGUAAAGGCUUACCUAGGCGGCGAUCCGUGGCUGGAAUGAGAGGACGACUAGCCACACUGGGACUGAGACACGGCACAGAGUCCUACGGGAGGCAGCAGUGGGGAAUUGUGGACAAGGGGGGCAAAACUGAUCAAGACAGGCCGCGGGCGGGAAGAAGGACUUCGGGUGGGAAACCGCUUUUGUUCGGGAAGAAAUCCUCUGGGCUAAUAACCAGGGGGGAUGAAGGUAAAGGAAGAAUAAGCAACGGCUAACUAAGUG